This is an RNA transcript of Sitodiplosis mosellana (orange wheat blossom midge), 2927 nucleotides long. RefSeq lists it as uncharacterized. The record is from RefSeq and is a predicted model, not a curated record. Lineage: Eukaryota; Metazoa; Arthropoda; Insecta; Diptera; Cecidomyiidae. The transcript is spliced from 4 exons.
UUUCAAUUCAAUUAAGUUGUGCAUUGAAUAAUUUUAUGAGAACAGAAUUAUGUCCCAUUUUGCUGCUGAAUUGCUGAUUUCGUCGAGCACGUUGCACGGUUUGUCCCAAACAAUUCUGGUUGCACAUUGGUAGAAAUAGAAGCCAGCAUCUCUCGACUAAAUUAAACGGCCGUUUUGUAAACUCGCCCCGAAAUGAAAGGAAAGAAAUCAUGAAACGGAUUCGUUUUUUCGACCGCGGGCAAACUGAAGUUUAUGCUCAGCCGUCAAAUGAAACCCCUAAGAAAGACAAACAGAUUACAAUCGCGCGGAACAUUGAGCGUCACUGUUCCAUCACAGACUCGAAUAAUGAAGCGACAACAGAAUGGCAAAUGCCAUAUCUGAGAUAAGCAUAUCGGUACAGUUCUCGGCAAUUUCAUUACAGAAGCGAUCUCAACCAAAAUUGAUCAAAUUGUUGGCAACAAAUUCACUGUCGUUGUCAAUGUGGGCGAUGCCAUUUGUAUGCCAUGCUUGACCAUGUUCAAGGAAAUGGAUCGGCUGGAAAUGUUGCUGACAAUAAUACGCCCCCUGCCAAAUUACGGAAGCUCAACACAAGUGUUGGUUCGAUCAAUGCGAAUUAUACGAACCGAAAGACGAGCAAGGGUGACGAUGCCGAAGCGACUGCACCAUUUUUGCAGCCGAUUCAGCCAGUGAAUCAAUUUGCCGAGAGUGCCAGCGCAAUUGAUUAUGAUAUUGAUGACGCAGCUGCCGAAUUUCAGGAGACGACGCAACCGAAUAGCAUUAGUCAAACACAAUUGGUGCGGCAAGUAAAUAAACCGACGGUACCACGUCGACGGCCGAAUGGCUUCUAUCACUGAAAAGUCUGCUCGGACACAUUCCCAAGCGUGGAUGAAUGGAAGAAACACAAUGACGAAAAGCAUGAAAAAAUCUUAGCAUGCAGUGAAUGCAAGAAAAAAUACAAAUUGCAAAAAUGCUACGAUUCGCAUAUGAAAAAGUAUCAUAAUUCAGAAAAUCCUGCAAAAAAUAACAAAAAAACCAGCCAACCAACCAAAAACAUUCAAACACAACUAAACACAUCUACAUUCGACAAAGCGGAAAUCCGAGGAAAUGCUAACAAUAUCGAAGGCGCGGUGGUGAUAACAAGCCAUGAAAUUUUGACCGGUGGACGCAGAUUCAAUAUUACCGUGGCAAACCCACAGGACGCCACUGCGAACUAUAUCGACGUAGAGAAUACAAACAAACAAGUGGACAACACACAUUGCGAUGUGAGCAGUUCCGAGAUUGACAGAUCCGAUGACAUUUUAUCCGAUUCAGGCGAUGAUCAUCAAUUGAAACAACAACAGCAACAGCCUGCCGACAAAGAGAUACACACAAAUUCUGAAGAACAGCCAGUGCAAAGUGUUGCCUUAUUACAAGCGUCAGAUGAAAAUGUUUUGGAUGUGAGAAACGAAAGUGUUGUAACAAGUUCCUCAGAAAACGAAGAAAGUUUUAACCAUUCAUAUUCCAACGGUCAUGACAGUUGCAACAGCGGUAAUUCUCGUGAUGAAGAUGAUAGUGAGCAGAGUGGUGGUAAUAAGCGAGUUGAGAUCACUGUUGGUCAUGACGAUUGUGUAAAAAUGGGGUAUUUUAACAAAAAAAAUGAAAGAAAUGGAAGGAAGACUGACAGGAAAAAUUACAACAGAGAUGGGACAAAUGGAAGAAAGACUGACAGGAAAAAUUGAACAUAUGCUUCGUGGAAGGUGAAAAGAAUAGCCUAUAAUAUUCCAAUAAACAUUAUCGUUGCUAUAAGAAUUCAUAUUAUCGCGACACCUAAUAGCGAAACGAGUUAAUUUUACCCGAGAAAACCUUACAAAGAGAAUAAAAGUUGAACGAGAUAAAAACAAAACAUGCUACGAUCAUCGUCAUGCGCUAGGUUAGUCACGUCUUAAUUCAUAGUUUAUUCACAAAUUACACCAAAUAGAGAAAAAAAAACACAACAACAGCAACAGCAUAAAUAGUUAAUCAAAGCACAUUAGCUUAACUUGAUCAUAUUUACAGCAACGAGAAAAAAACGAACAUAAUAUUUAUCACAAACAGACACUAGUACAAACCUGAUGAAUUUCUUCUAGAUGACAAAUACAAGAUACGAAAAAAAAAAACACAAUUGAUACUGGUCAAACCAAACCGACUUAUUUCAACAUCAAAGACAUUCCAUCCACAAUUUUUCAUUGCUAUGCCAAGCAAUAAAUAACAAACAAAAGAAUGGAACUUGAUCCAAUUCCAAGAAAUAUUUCAAAUAACGAAACAAACACUGACAAUACAUUCCAAAGGGAUACAAAAAAAAAACACAAAUCAGAUGAUUUGAACAUUCGCAGCAACGAGCUAAUUCUUCGUAGUCAAAAGUCAAAGUCGCCAAAAUAUUAUUGAUAUUCAAAUACAAAAAUCCCCCUGCGAAAAUCAAUAACGGCUAAAAAACAACUUCAAAACGAACAUUAAUACUAAACGCUAUAAAUGACCGUAGGUGUAUGCAAACGUAGGAAAUAAAAGCCUUUAAUCAAUGUGCAGAAGAGUCUCCUCCUCUGUUUAUUCUUUGUUUCACCCUAUAUACAAAUUAACUCCAUUUCAUCAUUCGAUAACGAAUCACACGCUAAUUCACCUAAAUUAAUAGUAUUGAAUUAUGACGGAUUUGCAAUAAAAAAAACUACAUGUCACAUAAAUCUAUUCAUUAAUGAUGAAAAAAAAACAAAUAAAUCGCGAAAAUUAAACCAAAGCAAUUGAUUCGCAGUCCAGAAAAAGCCUCAUUCUGCAAUCGAAUCGAUUCGAGCGACGCAAUCGGAUAUUUGAUUCCAUCAAAUCCAUUCUUAUUUCACUUAAUUCCAAAAACAAAAUUCGAAUUGGUUUCAUUUUUCAUUGAAUUUUAAUUUACAAAAUAAAAUUAAAUGUGAUGCAUA